CGGACGGGUGAGUAACGCGUGAGGGAUGAAUGCCUAUGGGUUGUAAACCUCUUUUUUCAGGGAGGAAUAAGUGACGUGUACCUGAAGAAUAAGCAUCGGCUAACUCCGUGCCAGCAGCCGCGGUAAGACGGAGGAUGCAAGUGUUAUCCGGAAUCACUGGGCGUAAAGCGUCUGUAGGUCGUUUAAUAAGUCAACUGUUAAAUCUUGAAGCUCAACUUCAAAAUCGCAGUCGAAACUAUUAGACUUGAGUAUAGUAGGGGUAAAGGGAAUUUCCAGUGGAGCGGUGAAAUGCGUAGAGAUUGGAAAGAACACCGAUGGCGAAGGCACUUUACUGGGCUAUUACUAACACUCAGAGACGAAAGCUAGGGUAGCAAAUGGGAUUAGAUACCCCAGUAGUC
RNAcentral lists this ribosomal RNA (398 nucleotides) under uncultured cyanobacterium. RNAcentral's name for it is "bacterial SSU rRNA". It matches the Rfam family "Bacterial small subunit ribosomal RNA", at positions 383 to 795 of the family's 1533-position model. The record is from RNAcentral. Lineage: Bacteria; Bacillati; Cyanobacteriota.